RNAcentral lists this ribosomal RNA (491 nucleotides) under uncultured bacterium. RNAcentral describes it as "bacterial SSU rRNA". It matches the Rfam family "Bacterial small subunit ribosomal RNA", at positions 30 to 518 of the family's 1533-position model. The record is from RNAcentral.
UGAACGCUGGCGGCGUGCUUAAUACAUGCAAGUCGAACGAAGCACCUGCGACGGAUCCCUUCGGGGUGAAGAUGCUUGUGACUGAGUGGCGGACGGGUGAGUAACGCGUGGGUAACCUGCCUUAUGCAGGGGGACAACAGUUGGAAACGACUGCUAAUACCGCAUAAGCGCACGGCACCGCAUGGUGCAGUGUGAAAAGAUUUAUCGGCAUAAGAUGGACCCGCGUCUGAUUAGGUAGUUGGUGAGGUAACGGCCCACCAAGCCGACGAUCAGUAGCCGACUUGAGAGAGUGAUCGGCCACAUUGGGACUGAGACACGGCCCAGACUCCUACGGGAGGCAGCAGUAGGGAAUAUUGCACAAUGGGGGGAACCCUGAUGCAAGCGACGCCGCGUGAGUGAUGAAGUAUUUCGGUACGUAAAGCUCUAUCAGCGGGGAAGAUAAUGACGGUACCUGACUAAGAAGCCCCGGCUAACUACGUGCCAGCCGCAGC